CCUACGGGAGGCAGCAGUGAGGAAUAUUGGUCAAUGGGCUUACGCCUGAACCAGCCAAGUCGCGUGAGGGAAGACUGCCCUAUGGGUUGUAAACCUCUUUUGUCAGGGAGCAACGCCGGCUACGUGUAGCCGGACUGAGAGUACCUGAAGCACAAGCAUCGGCUAACUCCGUGCCAGCAGCCGCGGUAAUACGGAGGAUGCGAGCGUUAUCCGGAUUUAUUGGGUUUAAAGGUUGCCUAGGCGGAAUGCCAAGUGAGCGGUAAAAUAGCGGGGCUCAACCUCGCUCCGCCGUUGAAACUGGAGUUCGUGAGUGGGUGAGAAGGAUGCGGAAUGCGUGGUGUAGCGGUGAAAUGCAGAGAUAUCACGCAGAACUCCGAUUGCGAAGGCAGCAUACCGGCGCCCGACUGACGCUGAGGCACGAAAGCGUGGGGAUCGAACAGGAUUAGAUACCCUAGUAGUC
Molecule: ribosomal RNA, 460 nt
Filed under: uncultured bacterium
Lineage: Bacteria
Description: partial 16S ribosomal RNA
Rfam family: Bacterial small subunit ribosomal RNA
Source: RNAcentral